This 1230-nucleotide ribosomal RNA is filed under the name metagenome. RNAcentral describes it as "bacterial LSU rRNA". It matches the Rfam family "Bacterial large subunit ribosomal RNA", at positions 1575 to 2815 of the family's 2925-position model. The record is from RNAcentral.
CGCUAAGGCGUUGAAGCAGUGUACGUCAGACUUCCAAGAAAAGCUCGCAAUGUCAUGAAUAAAAAAUGCCUGUACCAUAACCGACACAGGUGGGUAGGUAGAGUAUACUAAGGGGCGCGAGAUAACUCUCUCUAAGGAACUCGGCAAAAUGACUCCGUAACUUCGGGAGAAGGAGUGCCUUAUUUAUAAGGUUGCAAUAACAAGAUCCAAGCAACUGUUUAUCAAAAACACAGGUCUCCGCUAAGUCGUAAGACGAUGUAUGGGGGCUGACGCCUGCCCAGUGCCAGAAGGUUAAAGAAGUUGGUUAGUGUAUGCGAAGCUGAUGACUGAAGCCCUGGUGAACGGCGGCCGUAGCUAUAACGGUCCUAAGGUAGCGAAAUUCCUUGUCGGGUAAGUUCCGACCCGCACGAAAGGCGUAAUGAUUUGGAUACUGUCUCGGAGAGAGGCUCGGUGAAAUAGACUUGUCUGUGAAGAUGCGGACUACCUGCACCAGGACAGAAAGACCCUAUGAAGCUUUACUGUAACUUGAAAUUGGAAUUGGACUUUGCUUGCGCAGUAUAGGUGGGAAGCGUUGAAGAUAUUCUUGCGGGAGUAUUGGAGCUAUCAGUGAGAUACCACUCUUGUAAUGUUAGAUUUCUAACUUUGAACCAUAAUCUGGUCAAAGAACAGUUUCAGGUGGGCAGUUUGACUGGGGCGGUCGCCUCCCAAAUGGUAACGGAGGCGUACAAAGGUUUCCUCUGAACGGAUAGAAAUCGUAUCUAGAGUGUAAAGGCAUAAGGAAGCUUGACUGUGAGACCUACAAGUCGAGCAGGGACGAAAGUCGGUCUUAGUGAUCUGACGGUACUGAGUGGAAAGGCCGUCACUCAACGGAUAAAAGUUACUCUAGGAUAACAGGCUGAUCUCCCCCAAGAGUUCACAUCGACGGGGAGGUUUGGCACCUCGAUGUCGGCUCAUCGCAUCCUGGGGCGGUAGUACGUCCCAAGGGUUGGGCUGUUCGCCCAUGAAAGCGGUACGCGAGCUGGGUUCAGAACGUCGUGAGACAGUUCGGUCCAUAUCCGGUGUAGGCGUUAGAAUAUUGAGAGGAGCCUUCUUUAGUACGAGAGGACCGAGAAGGACACACCGCUGGUGUACCAGUUAUCGUGCCAACGGUAAACGCUGGGUAGCUAUGUGUGGAGUGGAUAACCGCUGAAAGCAUCUAAGUGGGAAGCCCACCUCAAGAUGCGUAUUCUC